UACGUAGGGGGCCAGCGUUGCUCGGAAUUACUGGGCGUAAAGGGUCCGUAGGCGGUGUGGUAAGUCGGGAGUGAAAUCUCUGGGCUUAACUCAGAGGCUGCUUUCGAAACUGCCGUGCUAGAGUGUGAGAUAGGCGAGUGGAAUUGCGGGUGUAGCGGUGAAAUGCGUAGAUAUCCGCAGGAACAUCCGAGGCGAAAGCGGCUCGCUGGAUCACAACUGACGCUGAGGGACGAAAGCUAGGGGAGCAAACAGG
RNAcentral lists this ribosomal RNA (253 nucleotides) under uncultured bacterium. RNAcentral describes it as "partial 16S ribosomal RNA". It matches the Rfam family "Bacterial small subunit ribosomal RNA", at positions 524 to 776 of the family's 1533-position model. The record is from RNAcentral.